ACGGGAGGCAGCAGUGGGGGAUAUUGCGCAAUGGGGGAAACCCUGACGCAGCAACGCCGCGUGAAGGAAGAAGGUCUUCGGAUUGUAAACUUUUGUCUUGUGGGACGAUAAUGACGGUACCACAGGAGGAAGCCACGGCUAACUACGUGCCAGCAGCCGCGGUAAUACGUAGGUGGCAAGCGUUGUCCGGAAUUACUGGGUGUAAAGGGUGCGUAGGCGGGGAUGCAAGUCAGAUGUGAAAUCUAUCGGCUCAACUGGUAAACUGCAUUUGAAACUGCAUUUCUUGAGUGGUGGAGAGGUAAGCGGAAUUCCUAGUGUAGCGGUGAAAUGCGUAGAUAUUAGGAGGAACACCAGUGGCGAAGGCGGCUUACUGGACACUAACUGACGCUGAGGCACGAAAGCAUGGGGAGCAAACAGGAUUAGAUACCCUGGUA
This 434-nucleotide ribosomal RNA is filed under the name uncultured Oscillospiraceae bacterium. RNAcentral's name for it is "partial 16S ribosomal RNA". It matches the Rfam family "Bacterial small subunit ribosomal RNA", at positions 341 to 792 of the family's 1533-position model. Lineage: Bacteria; Bacillati; Bacillota; Clostridia; Eubacteriales; Oscillospiraceae. The record is from RNAcentral.